This 253-nucleotide ribosomal RNA is filed under the name uncultured bacterium. RNAcentral's name for it is "partial 16S ribosomal RNA". It matches the Rfam family "Bacterial small subunit ribosomal RNA", at positions 524 to 776 of the family's 1533-position model. The record is from RNAcentral.
UACAGAGGUCCCAAGCGUUGUUCGGAAUUACUGGGCGUAAAGCGCGUGUAGGCGGUUUCAUAAGUCGGGUGUGAAAGCCCCGGGCUCAACCCGGGAAGUGCACUCGAAACUGUGAGGCUAGAGUAUCGGAGAGGUUGGUGGAAUUCUCGGUGUAGAGGUGAAAUUCGUAGAUACCGAGAGGAACACCGGUGGCGAAGGCGGCCAACUGGACGAAUACUGACGCUCAUGCACGACAGUGUGGGGAUCAAACAGG